CAGCAGCCACGGUAAUACGUAGGGUGCAAGCGUUAAUCGGAAUUACUGGGCGUAAAGCGUGCGCAGGCGGUUAUAUAAGACAGAUGUGAAAUCCCCGGGCUCAACCUGGGAACUGCAUUUGUGACUGUAUAGCUAGAGUACGGCAGAGGGGGAUGGAAUUCCGCGUGUAGCAGUGAAAUGCGUAGAUAUGCGGAGGAACACCGAUGGCGAAGGCAAUCCCCUGGGCCUGUACUGACGCUCAUGCACGAAAGCGUGGGGAGCAAACAGGAUUAGAUACCCCCGUAGUCCCUGUCUCUUAUAC
Molecule: ribosomal RNA, 301 nt
Filed under: uncultured bacterium
Lineage: Bacteria
Description: partial 16S ribosomal RNA
Rfam family: Bacterial small subunit ribosomal RNA
Source: RNAcentral